GUUUUCAUCGAAAGCCUUUAUUGUGAAACUGAAUACAUCAGAUAUACACACUACAUGCUGUUAGCAAACCACAAACUGAUACCAUCCCAUGUUGGUACGAGGCCACAUUAACACCACACUCUAAAACAUCGGAAAAUGUAAUACAUUAAUUGGUAUCUACUCUACAAGACAGGACAGAUAAUAAUGUAUCCUAAAAGUACAGCCUCAACAUGAUACCCAAGUGACGCUCUUGAGUAACUGAGCAGAAGUAGAAUGUCACGAGUCCACAAAUAAAUGAUUCAUGUGUCACUUGUUGAAGUACAAUUAUUGUAAGGCUAAGCGAAAUAACACAAAAUAAGAUUAUUU
Biomphalaria pfeifferi is the source of this 345-nucleotide non-coding RNA. The record is from the annotation of a GenBank genome assembly. Lineage: Eukaryota; Metazoa; Mollusca; Gastropoda; Planorbidae.